Molecule: ribosomal RNA, 798 nt
Filed under: uncultured Actinomycetes bacterium
Lineage: Bacteria; Bacillati; Actinomycetota; Actinomycetes
Description: bacterial SSU rRNA
Rfam family: Bacterial small subunit ribosomal RNA
Source: RNAcentral
AGGGUUUGAUCAUGGCUCAGGACGAACGCUGGCGGCGUGCUUAACACAUGCAAGUCGAACGAACUCGGACUUCGGUCCAUAUGGGUGAGUGGCGAACGGGUGAGUAACACGUGAGAAACCUGCCCCGAAGUCGGGAAUAACUCAGGGAAAUUUGAGCUAAUACCGGAUGCCCUCUUCUGAUCGCAUGAUCGGAUGAGGAAAGAUUUAUCGCUUUGGGAGGGUCUCGCGACCUAUCAGCUAGUUGGUGAGGUAAUGGCUCACCAAGGCAUCGACGGGUAGCUGGUUUGAGAGAACGAUCAGCCACACUGGAACUGAGACACGGUCCAGACUCCUACGGGAGGCAGCAGUGGGGAAUCUUGCACAAUGGGCGAAAGCCUGAUGCAGCGACGCCGCGUGGGGGAUGAAGGCCUUAGGGUCGUAAACCCCUUUCAGUAGGGAAGAAAAUGACGGUACCUACAGAAGAAGCUCCGGCCAACUACGUGCCAGCAGCCGCGGUAAGACGUAGGGGGCGAGCGUUGUCCGGAUUUAUUGGGCGUAAAGGGCUCGUAGGCGGUUACGUAAGUCGGAUGUGAAAACUCGAGGCUCAACUUCGAGACGCCAUCCGAUACUGCGUUGACUUGAGUCCGGUAGAGGAGUGUGGAAUUCCUAGUGUAGCGGUGAAAUGCGCAGAUAUUAGGAGGAACACCUAUUGCGAAGGCAGCACUCUGGGCCGGUACUGACGCUGAGGAGCGAAAGCAUGGGUAGCAAACAGGAUUAGAUACCCUGGUAGUCCAUGCCGUAAACGGUGGGCACUAGAUG